GCUGGUAAAAUGGAACCAAAU
RNAcentral lists this microRNA (21 nucleotides) under Petromyzon marinus (sea lamprey). RNAcentral's name for it is "Pma-Mir-133-o1-v2_5p* (star (passenger))". Lineage: Eukaryota; Metazoa; Chordata; Hyperoartia; Petromyzontiformes; Petromyzontidae. The record is from RNAcentral. RNAcentral also lists the same sequence under 1 other name.